CUUCAGGGUAAUUGAGAUAGCAGUCUAUUUUUUGGGCUCAUAUUCCAAAUUGGUAUUCAGGGGAGUUUUUAUGUAAUCUAGUUAAGAUAAAGCGCUCACAAUGGCAAGGUCACUCCGUCCAGAUCGAACUGCUUCAUUCGUUCACCCGCAUUUUAAUUAUUAUCGUAAAGAGCGGUCUCAGACAAGCAUGGCGUUGUACUGCGCUUCUUCUCGGGAGUUCAUUUCACGCGUGCCAUCACCCUCUGUUUUAUCUGUUUGAUCAAAAUCGACCAUGCAUGCUUGCACUUUGACACAAAUGAAUACGUGUGUCCCAGACCGCUGCCUCGAGCCUGGAUCGGAGACAUUCCCACAAUUCACUAGCCGGACUCCUAUGUCCACUUUAUCAACCGCAACAGGGUUCCUGUAAAGAAUUCCCAUCGCAUCGCGUCACACUUCGGCCAUUUCCUUUCGUCCGGAUCGUAGGAGUGUAUCGGAGGAGGCGAGCGAGCUAAUUAUCGUUUCCCAGAAUCCCUUGCUGUGAAAGCAUUUUGUAUUAUAAUGCUCGAGACGGAUUUUUUUUUGCAAAUAAAACGAACAAACAAAAAACACGGUUUCUUUUAAUCGCCUGCCAUUUUGUAGGAGCUUCUCCACUACAGCUUUGUGAAAUGGACUCGUGAACGACGGUGUGGACGUGGACGUGGACCUGGACGUGGACGUGGAAGGCUUCGGUGGUGCCUUUUGUGCAUUUCGUUCUCGUCCAUCUUUAUCCGGCAGGAAUAAACAAUUUGGUAUCUAAUGCUAAACUAACGAGCGACGGGCGAGUCAGGAAUCCUUUAUCUUCUUCAUGUUCGUCGUCUUCAUCAUCCGAGUAAAAAGAAGGGAUUCUAUUCACGUCGUUUUUUCCAACUCGGACCUUAUUCCGUGCUAUUUAACAACCCCGUGUAUGAGAACGAUGACGACCUUGUGGUGACCCUCGUCUCGGAUUUCUCGUCGGUUGAACAUGCAGUCCUGUUUACAACCUCAGCAUGAAAACAGAGGGUCUCGAACACUUCACACUGACUGCAAACCAACAUGUGUGUGUGUGUGUGUGUGUGUGUGUGUGUACAUACUUACUUAUGGGACAAAGACGUGUGCAUGACAUUCGGAUGUCAACAUCGUUGUACGAACUUUAAUGUUGGUUUCUUGGCUUCUUUACACGGUAUAACAUUUCACCCUGCGUUCACAUUAGCAAGCGACAAAGCGACAUCGUUUCCUUUAAGUUUAUUCUAAAAUUCAUCCGUUCAUUUAAGUAUUUACUACUAUUAAAUUCAUGCAAAUUAAAUACCUCGUGAAUACCCCAGGCCUGAGUUUAGGUUUUCAACAAAGAGCAGUGGAAGACAAAUUUAAAGGGAUAGUUCACCCAAAAAUGAGAGUUCUGUCGUCAGUUACUCGCCCUCGUACGUCUACGCAGAAGUGAAGAUAUUCUAUGCGAAUAAAGAUAUUUUAAUUUUAGUUGGGAUUUUUUUUUUUUUUUUUUUUUGUACACACGAAACAUUCGUAUCGCUUCAGAAAACUGGGAUUAAACCACCGGGGUCACGUGGAUUCCUUCUACGAUGCCUUUAUGAACUUUUUGGAGCUUGAAAGUUACAUGGAUCGUAAACAGAGGGACAGAAAACUCCCAGGUUUCAUUAAAAAACGUCUUCGUUUGCGUUUUCCGACGACGAACGAAAGUCUCACGGGUUUGGAACGACGUGAGGCGGAGUAACUGACGAUUUUGGGGUGAACUAUCCCUUUAAAUAUAACGAAUCUGUUUUAAACAAAUAGAUCAAACUGUUAAUAUAUAUUUUAAACACAUAAGUAAGAGGGUUAUUAGGGUCGUCGUAAUACAUUACAAUCAUCUUGGCUUUGAUAUCAAAACUGUAAUAGGAAAAACAUUUUUAGUAUUUUUUUAGUAAGUUUUUUUUUUUUUUCCUUAACAAAAAAAUUAAUAUAUUUGGUAUCAUUUUAGUCAAAGAUUUUCUACUAUUGCAGCGUUACAAUGUGACAAAAUUGUUUGUAGGUUGUUGUUUUUUUCUCCUCACAUGACAACAAAACUACUGUAGGAUUUUUAAUUUUUUCCUUUUUUGUUUUGUUGUAAAAACCUUCAGUAUUAGUUUUUGUUGUUGUGUUUUUUAAAUGUAGUUUUAAACAAUACCCGAUACCAAAACUAAACUAGGAAGUGUUUUAUAUGAAAAUAAAAGAAUUUAAAAGAAUAAUACGAUAAAAACGUAUGUAGGUUUUUUUUUGUCACAUGACACCAAAACUACACUAGGAUUUUUUUAUUUUAUUUAUUUAUUUAUUUUUGUAUUCUUGUUUUUCCUUUUUUUUUUUUUUUUUUUUUUAUUGUUGCUGCAAAAACUUUCGGUACGAUUUUUUUUUUUUUUUUUCCCUUUUUGGCCACAUUUUUGAUAUACACAAUUAACAAUACACGAUACCAAAAAUAAACUAGGAAAAAAUUAUAUUAAAAAUCAAAUCAAAUAAAAAGUAUUGUUUCGUUUUUUUUUGUUUUUUUUUUACCUAGUGUAAGAUUUUAUUAUUUAAUUUUUUUUUCACAUUGAAGUAAUAUUCAAACAAAUUAAUGAAUGAAGUAAUUUAUUAAAUAAAAUCUAUAAUUUGGGGGCGGGGUGUUUGUUUUUGAUCGAUCGCUUUAUUUAUUUUUUUGCUCAUGCUGAUCUUUUUCUCGGACCUCACACUCACUUAUACCACAUGUUCUCCUGUGACGAGCUAAACGCCUCUUUCUCGGCUCUCUUCGCCACCGGCUCUCUUUCAGUAGCAUCGAUUCAGGAUUUUACUUUCUGUCUCCGUUUCUUUGUCCGUCUUCUUCGAGUCGGAUCCGUUUUUAUUUGAACGCGACGUCACUCAUCUUUUAUAUAUGAAAUAAUAAAAUAUCAGCCUUAGAGUUAGUCUGUUCCAAUAAAGACGUACCGGUGUUUUGUUUUUGUUGUUUUUUUAAAGUUACACUAUUGAGAGUUUUGCCACAUUUGUGAUAGCAGCUCAAAUGAUGAAUUCUACAAUAAAUAAAUGAUAGAUUGUAAAUGACACUGUUUACAUUUUGGCUUCAUUUGUAAUCAGAGCUUAAUACUGUAAGACUGAGCAGGAGAUUUAUUUACUACUGUGCACAUGAGUGAUGACGGCAGUGUGUCAACCUUGUCGCUUGCUUGUAGGAACUCAGGGUCGUGUGUGUGUGUGUGUGUGUGUGUGCGUGUGGAAGUGUGUGCGAAUGUCUUUUGCUUACGCUGCCAUUUUUUUUUACCCUCGACACGAUCUUCGCUUGUCCUUUUCCAAGUCUGUCCUUUGUCAUUUCUGCCCACGCUUGACUCCUGAUCAUUCCUUUUCGAAAUGAACUCUGAAGUUUUUUUUUGCCGCCAACAUGUCUCUGUUUUCUAAUGCGAGCGCUGUCGGAAUCAGCGGUGGGAAAUAUACACUGCUCAAAAUGGAAACUGAGUAUCGAUGAGUCAUAAUGAAUUGCUACCAACGGAGUUUUAGAGAAAAGAGGGGGAACAGUAAAGGGGGGUGGAAGUAAAUGAGUAAAACGGAUCUUUUCUCCCCACGAAGGACUGAAAGAUCUGAUGUUAUUGGUUUGAAAAAAAAAAAAAAAAACCCAAAAAGAUUCGAUUAAAAGUCGUGAAGGUCCAGUUACGUGAAAUUUCCCUGCAUCCGACAGGAAUAAAUAACAACAAGCUUUUAAUUCUACACUAUUAACGCUCCACUCGUUGCUAUAAAUUCCACGCAUUAUUUUCACUUCACAACUUUUUUUUUUCUUAUUUUAUUUUAUUUUCUACUAGCGCUGUGUUUUCAAACUGAAGCUGAGAAUAAACACUUACGAAACACGUCCAGUCGUCUUUAAACGCGCUCGUUUAUCUUUUGGGGGGAAAGCCCUGUUGUCACUUCACUAAUCGCAGCUAGAGAAGGUAAAUAAAUCUAAGAACGUCUGUGAAAACACUUUGCAUUCUCGAGGGGAUGCCUUCAGCUAAAUGACUGACAUAAGUGCGUGUGAUUGGUCGGGACAGAGGAUCUGCUCCAGAAAAACAGGAAGCAAACAGGAAGUCCGUCGUCUUUACGCAAUUCUGAAACAUUCUCUUCUUAAACAUUUAGGGGUUUUUUUUUUUUUUUGAGUCCGUAGUAACAGCUCAUUCAAGUAGAACCCUUUCAGGAGCAUAAGAACACAUAGUCCUUUAAGUAGAACCCUUUUAGGAGCAUAAGAACCCUGAGCAGUCCAAGUAGAACCCUUUUAGGAGCAUAAGAACCCUUAGUCCUCAAAUUAGCACCCUUUUAGGAGCAUAAGAACACUUAGUUCAUCAAGUAGAACCCUUUUAGGAGCGUACGACCACCUAGAUCUCCAAGUAGAACCCUUUUAGGAGCAUAAAAACCCUUUGUCCUAUGAGUAGAACCAUUUUAUGAGCAUACGAACACUAGAUCUCCAAGUAGAACCCUUUUAGGAGCAUAAGAACACCUAGAUCUCCAAGUAGAACUCUUUUAGGAGCAUAAGAACCCUUAGGCCUCCAAGUAGAACCCUUUUAGGAGCAUAAGAACACUUAGAUCAUCAAGUAGAACCAUUUUAGGAGCAUACGACCACCUAGAUCUCCAAGUAGA
Long non-coding RNA from Ictalurus punctatus (channel catfish), 4590 nucleotides. The record is from Ensembl. Lineage: Eukaryota; Metazoa; Chordata; Actinopteri; Siluriformes; Ictaluridae.